UAGGGAAUAUUGGACAAUGGGCGAAAGCCUGAUCCAGCAACGCCGCGUGCGCGAUGACGGCCUUCGGGUUGUAAAGCGCUUUUAGAGGAGAUGAGAAAGGACAGUAUCCUCUGAAUAAGCCUCGGCGAACUACGUGCCAGCAGCCGCGGUAAAACGUAGGAGGCUAGCGUUAUCCGGAUUUAUUGGGCGUAAAGCGCGUGCAGGCGGUCUGGUAAGUUGGAUGUGAAAGCUCCUGGCUUAACUGGGAGAGGUCGUUCAAUACUGUCAGACUAGAGAAUGGGAGAGGGAGGUGGAAUUCCGGGUGUAGUGGUGAAAUGCGUAGAUAUCCGGAGGAACACCAGUGGCGAAAGCGGCCUCCUGGACCACUUCUGACGCUAAGACGCGAAAGCUAGGGUAGCAAACG
This 403-nucleotide ribosomal RNA is filed under the name uncultured prokaryote. Its description in RNAcentral is "bacterial SSU rRNA". It matches the Rfam family "Bacterial small subunit ribosomal RNA", at positions 355 to 774 of the family's 1533-position model. The record is from RNAcentral.